UCUGUAUAUGUGUGUGUGUAUAUACAUGUGUGUGUAUCAUGUACAAUAUAAUACACAUAUUAUACAUAUA
Molecule: microRNA precursor, 70 nt
Filed under: Pelodiscus sinensis (Chinese soft-shelled turtle)
Lineage: Eukaryota; Metazoa; Chordata; Testudines; Trionychidae
Description: miRNA (ENSPSIG00000020064.1)
Source: RNAcentral